This 497-nucleotide ribosomal RNA is filed under the name uncultured bacterium. Its description in RNAcentral is "partial 16S ribosomal RNA". It matches the Rfam family "Bacterial small subunit ribosomal RNA", at positions 28 to 507 of the family's 1533-position model. The record is from RNAcentral.
GAUGAACGCUGGCGGCGUGCCUAAUACAUGCAAGUCGAGCGAACAGACGAGGAGCUUGCUCCUCUGACGUUAGCGGCGGACGGGUGAGUAACACGUGGAUAACCUACCUAUCAGACUGGGAUAACUUCGGGAAACCGGAGCUAAUACCGUAUAAUAUAUUUAACCGCAUGGUUCAAUAGUGAAAGACGGUUUUGCUUUCACUUAUAGAUGGAUCCGUGCCGCGUUAGCUAGUUGGUAAGGUAACGGCUUACGAAGGCAACGAUGCGUAGCCGACCUGAGAGGGUGAUAGGCCACACGGGAACUGGUACACGGACCUGGCGACUAAGGGAGGCAGCAGUCGGGAAUCGUCGGCAAUGGGCGAAAGCAUGACGGAGCAAGGGCGAGUGAGUGAUGAAGGUCUUCGGAUCGUGAAACUCUGUUACUAGGGAAGAACAAAUGUCUAAGUAACUAUGCACGUCUUGACGGUACCUAAUCAGAAAGCCACGGCUAACUACGUG